GCUGGGUGUGGUGGCGGGCACCUGUAAUCCCAGCUACUUGGGAGGCUGAGGCAGGAGAAUCGCUUGAACCCAGGAGGUGGAGGUUGCAGUGAGCCGAGAUUGCGUCACUGCACUCUAGCCUGGGCGACAGAGUGAGACUCCGUCUCAA
RNAcentral lists this non-coding RNA (148 nucleotides) under Homo sapiens (human). Lineage: Eukaryota; Metazoa; Chordata; Mammalia; Primates; Hominidae. The record is from Rfam by way of RNAcentral.